ACGUAGGUGACUAGCGUUGUUCGGAUUUAUUGGGCGUAAAGGGUCCGCAGGGGGCCAACUAAGUUCGAUGUGAAAUCCCGGAGCUUAACUUCGGAACUGCAUUGGAGACUGGUUGGCUAGAGCAUCGGAGAGGAGAAUGGAAUUCCAGGUGUAGCGGUGGAAUGCGUAGAUAUCUGGAAGAACACCAAAGGCGAAGGCAGUUCUCUGGACGAUUGCUGACCGGCAGUGACGAAAGCAUGGGGAGCAAACAG
This 251-nucleotide ribosomal RNA is filed under the name uncultured prokaryote. RNAcentral describes it as "partial 16S rRNA". It matches the Rfam family "Bacterial small subunit ribosomal RNA", at positions 525 to 775 of the family's 1533-position model. The record is from RNAcentral.